Molecule: non-coding RNA, 299 nt
Organism: Leuconostoc mesenteroides subsp. mesenteroides ATCC 8293
Lineage: Bacteria; Bacillati; Bacillota; Bacilli; Lactobacillales; Lactobacillaceae
Source: Rfam
AUAUAAACGUUGAAAAGAUAAGUACAUCUUUGAAUCUUAGUUAGAGAGCUCGUGUUUGGUGAAAGCGGGUAAGAUAAUUAGUUGGAAAAUGGUCUUGGAGUUUUUUACGGAUACGAGCAAGCGAACACUCAUAUGUGUUACGCGGUAAGUUGAAAUCGGGCGUCCCCGUUACUGGACAACGUAUAAACCAAAGCUUUCACAGAUGUUCUCGACGAAAUUUUUUGGCGUACGUUUGGAGGUGUAAACUUGCAAUGUUUACAUAAAUACCGGGUGGUAACACGUCAAUUAACGUCCCGUAG